Long non-coding RNA from Mya arenaria, 4829 nucleotides. RefSeq lists it as uncharacterized. The transcript is spliced from 3 exons. The record is from RefSeq and is a predicted model, not a curated record. NCBI's taxonomy places the organism in Eukaryota, Metazoa, Mollusca, Bivalvia, Myida, Myidae.
UACCGGAAGUUAUUUUUAUUGUUUCCAUUAUUAAAGUAAAACAACCGACCAUAUAAAAGUUUAAACGAAUAAAUUUAAAAUUAAAACCUAUGGAUAUUAGUCAUCACGUGUUUGCAAGAUGUUUUCCCAUGCCUUGCUUUUAAACAAGACAAAUGUAUUGACGAUUGAAGUUAACUUUUUAUAUCUUGGACUGAAAUUAAAUAACUUUCUUACUCGUGAAAGUAUUAUUAAACUUAAUAUCAAUUCAGGUGGUAUGAUAUUGACAAUUGAAUAUGAAAUGCGAUGUCUUUAAGAUAACAAGCUAAAUCAAUAAUCCAUUCACACGAAUAAUUUAAGGAGUAGUUUGUGCAACUUGAAAACAAACUCAGGUAUCUAUUGAGUUGACAUUGGUCACGUAUGAAAUAAAUAUAGCUCUCUGUUGACAAAGUUUCAUCAACUGUGUUCUUGUUCAGAUGCUUUAAACGUGUCAACGUCUGUAAAGAAAUAAAAAUGGAAAUAUUGUGUGACACUUCUUCGAAAACAACUUCUGAUUCGGAAUACGACUAUACAUGUUCCCCUUGUAAUGACGAAGGACUUAACAAAGAGGCUCAGUAUUUUUGCGGAGAAUGUGCCCAGUUUUACUGCAACGAAUGUGAACAAUGGCACAAGAAGAUACGCAAAAGACACGUCGUUUUGGGACGCGAAGACAGUAGGCAAUGGUUGCAGGCGCCUAUUCAAAGUGUAGUUGAAGAUUUAGAACGAUGCAAAAAGCACCCCAACAAGGCACUAGAGUUGUAUUGUGGCGGCCAUGAUGAACUUUGCUGUCAUCUAUGUGUUGCUAAUAACCACAGUGACUGCUACGAAGUAAUGCAUAUCCCAGUCUUAGCGAGAGGAUUCCGCGAAAAACAAGGAGUUUCAGAAACUGCCUUGAGGAGGUAGGAAAAUUAAGGAAUCAUCUCCGCCAAUUUGAGGAGUCAAGGGAGAACAGUAAACAAAGGCUUGAACUAUCUCGUAAUAAAGUACUUGAGGAUGUCAAAGUUUUUCGCGAAAGGAUUAAUGGAAUUAUAGAUAGAAUUGAAGGCAGAACACUUCAAGAAUUGGAUUAAAUGGUACAAUCAAUAGAUAAAGCUCUUUCAAGUGACAUUGGCAUAUGCAAUGCUACGAGUGAUCGUUUGCAAACUUUAAUAGACGAGGUUAAAACAAAAGGCAUUAAAAGUGAAUCUCUUUCGUAUAUUGGAUUCACAAAAUGUAAGAUGCUAAUGUUAGAGGCCAAUGAAAUAUGCAAUGAAAUGACAAAAUUCAUGGACCAUGAAUUAUUCUUAAAAACAGGGUCUAGAAUAGAAAAUAUCUUAUUUUCCAUCGACACAUUUGGAGAUAUAUUCGAUGCAAAUCACGUUUUUAAACUACAGUCGGAGCAGCCCAUUGCAAUAGAUAAAUCUUACAAAGAGUGCAAAAUAACUGGUGCUUGUGAUUUACCUAGCGGGGAAAUUGUCCUUUGUGUUGGUGAGCCAAAUCCUGCAGUAGUAUUACUAGCUCAAACUUAUGAAAUUAUUGCACGCCUGAAUUUUUCUGAUUUUCCUGUAGACGUUUUCAAACUAGAAGUAAAUCAAGUGGUCAUUGCGGUCUCUAUUAGGUAGGGGUUAUGUUUCAUCAAAAUAAAUGAAGGUAAACUUCUAGAGUUCAAAAAGAUAAAAUUUAAAAAUAUAUUUUAUUGCUACGAUGUCGCUCACAGCGACGGCAAACUAUACGUCACUACUGGAACGACCCUCUUGCAGUACAACAUGUCAGGAAAGUAUGUUAAAAAGCUUUACGAACCGGAGAAGUCUUUGAGUAAUGCCAUUAGAAAAUACCGUGACACAAUUGUUAGUAAAUGCGCUGUAAAUGCUGACGGCAGUAGAAUCUUCAUUCUUGAUAAUAUUGAUAGCCAGAUCGUCACGCUCGACCAACACGGCAGUAUCUUAUCAGUGGUAAAAGACGCCACCAUAACGGAAUUGUACGGUAUUUGUGUGUCAACAUUUGGGUAUGUGUUUGUUGCAUGCUCCGAUAUCGUGCUGCAAAUAGACAGGAAUGGACAAAAUGAACUAAUCAAGUAGGCCAAGUUAUUACACUCUCAGAAGCCGGUAUCAUUAUGCUAUGUACAAAACAAUACAGUCUCAUCGAUGGUCAUAAUGGAGUGAAUAAUAAGCAAGUCACGGUGCUCAAACUGAAAUGAGCGUUAACAUUGGUACAUAGUAUAUUCCCUGAAUGUAUUUCUAUUGUGUACUUAUUUAUUUAGACAGUACACUUAAAUAAAGUUGACUAUUAAAAAUCGCACGCGGAGAGUCUGGUUACAUCUGCUGAACUGAAAACUUCUGAAUAAUAAACUGCCGCUGUUCAGUCGUACAUAUCCCUGUCUUAGCUGUUUUAGGAUUUCGCGAAACUGAUGAGUUCAAUAGACUGCCGGACGAGGUUGAAGAACUUAGGAACCAGCUCGAGGAAUUCAGAGAGUCCAGGAAAAGGAGUAAAGAAAAGAUUGAAACGUCUUGGUAUAAAGCACUGAUGGAUAUCAAAGUUCUCCGUGGAAAAAUAAUUGGACAACUGGAUACAGUUGAAAAAAGAACGAUAACAGAAAUGAUCAAAGUAAUGGCGCCGUCAGUUGAAAUUCUGACAAAAGAUGUUGACAAGUGUAACGAUAUGCGCGAUCGUCUUAAAUGUUUUAUAGAUGAGAUUAAGAGCAAUAAAAGUGAAUCUCUUUCGUACGUUGGAUUCACAAAAUGUAAGAGCUUGACGGCAGAGGCGAAUAUCGUAUGCAAGGAAAUGAUAAAAACCAAAGACUUUGAAAUAGUCUUUCAACCAGGGUCCAACGUAGAAACUACCGUUUCCUCCAUUAACACUUUUGGAGCAAUAUUUGAUGUGAAUCAUGUUUUUACGGUUCACUCAAAAAAGUCCAUAACAAUGGACAUCUUUAGAAGAGGGUUCACAACAACUGGUGUUUGUGAAAUGCCUAACGGAAAUCUUGUCGUUUGUAAUAGAAACCCUUACCGCGAAAUUGUCUUGCUAGCUCAAAACUUUAAAGCUGUAACACGCCUCCAAUUUCCCGAAUAUCCUGAAGCCAUUUGUAACAUUGGAGAAAAUAAAUAAGUUGGCGGUUGCUAUAACAAGUGAAAUGGGUUUACGUUUAAUCCAAGUAACUGAAGGAAAACUUCUACAGACUAAUAGUGUUCGUUUUGAUCACUCAUGCCUCAGUGUCGCUCACAAUGAUAAUCAUCUCUACGUCUCAUCUGAAGCGGCUCUCUAUCAGUACACAAAGACUGGCCAAUUGGUCAAACAGUUGUACAAUACAGGGAAUGCAAAAAGGUGGGACAUGAACGUUCUUAAAUGCGCUCUAAACCAUGACGGAAGUAAAAUAUUCAUUCUUAAUAAAAUGGCUAACAAGAUCCUUACACUCGACCGAGACGGAAAUAUUUUAUCAGCGAUAAAAGAUUCAGAUAUAAGCGAACCAUGUGGAAUUUGUGUGUCAUCAUUUAGAUAUGUGUUUGUUGCCUGCUGAAAGUGUGUGGUGCAAAUUGACAGGAAUGGGCAAAAGAAACUGACCAGGUUGUUCGAGAUUUCGCCAAAUUGCAUGGUGACGUCGCUGCGCCACGUAACGAACACAAACAGUCUGAUCAUGGGUCUAAGCGGACAUAUCGAGAAGGGAAUAGCUGUACUCGAACUGAAGUAAAUAUCGCCAUUGUUACACACUUUGUUUAUUUUAUAUAACAUAUGCAGCAAUGUAUUUUUCGUUUAGACACAACACUUGUCUUUUAGUGAAUUGUUCUGGUGUGUCAUUUCCCAGGUUGCAACUUUUUGAGUGGAAACACGAUCAGCACCUACAUCCUUGAUAAGCUAUGAUGAAGUCUUUUUUUUCCUUUUCACACUGCAAUAAGUUUAAACAUCAUUGUUCGGCUAGUGAACACAAACUUUUUUUUCUUUUUAUCGUGAGUUAUUUUGUAUUACAUCAAAAGGUUUUUUCGACUGUGUAUUGUUUUGGCUACUCAUAUCGUUUUUUUUAAAUAAGUUAUAUUAGAAAUCAACUACUAUUUUGCUUGUUGUUCUCUUUUUUGCCAUUGUUAAAUAUUAUUUGUUCUUUUAACUAUAAUCAUUUAUAAUCAUCAAACAAAAUAAGCAUCAGACUAUAUUUUUUUAUUGUAACACUUUGCUGAAUUAAUAUAAACUUACAUUAAUAUAAUAAGGAAGUAACAAAAAUUUGUGUGUGUGUUUGAACUAACUAUUUCCAGUAAUUCUAUCUAAUCAUUAGCGGUUCCAGAGGGGAGGCGCAUCCCGAAACUCGUCCAAGUUUACUUUUUAUUUCAAAACAGGAGUAAAAAGUAAUAAAAUACGCCCAAAAUUAACCAUUUUGGACUAGAAACUGCAAAAUAUUUCUAGGGGGAGUACCCCCGCCAACAUUUUAUUCCCAAUGUUAUUGUUCGAUUGCUUCUACAUUCAAUUAACUGAAUGUGCAUAGACUGCAAUCGAUAAGUUUAAAUUUAUGGAGUAUUUUUAUUCUCAUUAGAAAUUUAUAAUGAAAAGUACACAUUGUUGAUUUGUAUUUAUUACCGUAUAGUUUGUUCAAAUCUAGUUGUUCAUUUUCAAUUGACGGAUGGCGCCAUCUUUGAUUAAUUUCAUCUUUGUUUGUUCUGGCACCGAGCGAAUAAGACUCUGAUAUGAUAUGAAUUCAUUACCAUUUAUAUUGUAAAGAUACCUCGCUUGGUAAUAGUCACAAAAAUUGUUUGUUCUAUAGUGAAAUAUACGUUUAAGAUACUUAAUGCCCUUUUCAAACAAUUUGUUAUAGAAUAAUGUAUGGUUUAUGUUACAAAUAUUUUAUUGUUACA